Molecule: ribosomal RNA, 497 nt
Filed under: uncultured bacterium
Lineage: Bacteria
Description: partial 16S ribosomal RNA
Rfam family: Bacterial small subunit ribosomal RNA
Source: RNAcentral
GAUGAACGCUGGCGGCGUGCCUAAUACAUGCAAGUCGAGCGAACGGAUGCUAAGCUUGCUUUUCUGAUGUUAGCGGCGGACAGGUGAGUAAAACGUGGAUAGACUAUCUCUCAUACUGGGAUACAUUUGGGGAACAGGAGCUCUUAUCGGAUAAUAUUUUGAACCGCAUGGUUCAAAAGUGAAAGACGGUCUUGCUGUCACUUAUAGAUGGAUCCGCGCUGCAUUAGCUAGUUGGUAAGGUAACGGCUUACCAAGGCAACGAUGCAUAGCCGACCUGAGAGGGUGAUCGGCCACACUGGAACUGAGACACGGUCCAGACUCCUACGGGAGGCAGCAGUAGGGAAUCUUCCGCAAUGGGCGAAAGCCUGACGGAGCAACGCCGCGUGAGUGAUGAAGGUCUUCGGAUCGUAAAACUCUGUUAUUAGGGAAGAACAUAUGUGUAGGUAACUGAGCUCAUCGUGACGGUACCUAAUCAGAAAGCCACGGCUAACUACGUG